Molecule: long non-coding RNA, 2281 nt
Organism: Homo sapiens (human)
Lineage: Eukaryota; Metazoa; Chordata; Mammalia; Primates; Hominidae
Source: Ensembl
ACUCACGCGGAGCCAAUCGGAACUCGCGGCGGGGUUGCUGGGUCUUCCAGGAUCGCGCAUUAGCGGACGCUGGCUACGGGUGGCCGGGCGGGAUGUAACCGGCUGCUGAGCUGGCAGUUCUGUGUCCCCAGGCUUCGGCCCGGCCGCCGCCGCACAUAAACUGCGAGGAGGAGCUUUACGACUUCUCGGUCUUCGGGGCCGGGCGCAGCAAGGGCCAGACUCUGCGCUAGCAGGCGCUGCGCGCCAACCGGCCGGCCCCUGUCGCAGAAGGUGCAACCGAUCGCACUGUCGCGCAGAAGCUCCUCAAUGGCCAGCGCCAGCUGCAGCCCCGGCUGCCCACUCGCCUCACCUGAGCCUGGGUGGAACAAUCCAAAGUUUUAAUCAAAGAAGGUGGUAUUCAGUUGCUGCUUACAAUAGUUGAUACCCCAGGAUUUGGAGAUGCAGUGGAUAAUAGUAAUUGCUGGCAGCCUGUUAUCAAUUACAUUGAUAGUAAAUUUGAGGACUACCUAAAUGCAGAAUCGCAAGUGAACAGAUGUCAGAUGCCUGGUAACAGGGUGCACUGUUGUUUAUACUUCAUUGCUCCUUCAGGACAUGGACCGUUACAUAACUGAAGACUCCCACCUUCAGGCAGGAUUGGGUAGUACAUGUUUGUAACUACCUGGCAUUGCCUUUUGUUGAGACUUAAACCAUUGGAUAUUGAGUUUACAAAGCAUUUGCAUGAAAAAGUGAAUAUCAUCCCACUUAUUGCCAAAGCAGACACACUCAUGCCAGAGGAAUGCCAACAGUUUAAAAAACAGAUAAAGAAAUCCAAGAACAUAAAGUUAAAAUAUAUGAAUUUCCAGAAACAGAUGAUGAAGAAGAAAAAAAACUUGUUAAAAAGAUAAAGGACCAUUUACCUCUUGCUGUGGUGGGUAGUAAUACUAUCAUUGAAGUUAAUGGCAAAAGGGUCAUAGGAAGGCAGUAUCCUUGGAGUGUUGCUGAAGUUGAAAAUGGUGAACAUUGUGAUUUUACAGUUUUAAGAAAUAUGUUGAUAAGAACACACGCAGGACUUGAAAGAUGUUACUAAUAAUGUCCACUACGAGAACUAUGGAAUCAGAAAACUGGCAGCUGUGACUUAUCAUGGAGUUGAUAACAAGAAGAAUAAAGGGCAGCUCACUAAGAGCCCUCUGGCACAAAUGGAAGAAGAAAGAAGGGAGCAAGUAGCUAAAAUUAAGAAGAUGGAGAUGGAGAUGGAGCAGGUGUUUGAGAUGAAGGUCAAAGAAAAAGUUCAAAAACUGAAGGACUCUGAAGCUGAGGCCUUCAGGAAGUGUCGAGUCUGGGACGCCCAGCGCGGGCCCGAGCAGGGGGAAGGGAAGCGCAGCUCGGUCCGCGUGGGUGGAGGGGACGUGAAGCCGCCCUGAGAUGAUGGUUGAGGAAGGGCUCUACGGCUCCCAAGCUAGGCCAAAUGCCUCCGGCGGCCGCGCCCGGGCGCCCCUUCCCCUGUGGGGCAACCCUAGCUUGGGACGCGUGAACCACCUCCGUAGCUGCCCCACCAGCACCCCCAGCCGUGCGCCCCUGCACCAUGCAGCUGCCCUGCGCAUGGAGCCGCGAGGGACAGCAGGCCCAGCCCUCAGCACCACCUGCCUGCCAGGAGGUUCGGGAAACUGGCGCCGCAGCGGAGAGGGCAUCUGUCCAACGCCUCCCCCGGGGCUCAGCUGCGGGCCCCCAGGCAUAGGCACCCAUGACCCUUCUGUGUUGUUUGUCUUUGUAUAGUCUGCAGAUGUGGAUCCUGACUCCUGAGAGAAGUAGCUCACCGUGACGAAGCUGCGUUUGCUUUUAUCGAUUUGCAAAUCAAAGAAGGGGGACAUAUUGGGAGAAGGCCCCCCAAAAUCUGGCCAUAAACUGGCCACAAAACUGGCCAUAAAAUCUCUGCAGCACUGUGACAUGCUCAUGAUGGCCAUAACGCCCACGCUGGAAGGUUUUGGGUUUACCGGAAUGAAGGCAAGGAACACCUGGCCUGCCCAGGGCAGAAAACCACUUAAAGGCAUUCUUAAACCACAAACAGUAGCAUGAGCGAUCUGUGCCUUAAGGGCAUGUUCCUGCUGCAGAUAACUAGCCAGACCCACCCCUUUAUUUCAGGCCAUCCCUUCAUUUCCCAUAAGGGAUACUUUUAGUUAAUUGAAUAUCUAUAGAAACAAUGCUAAUGACUGGUUUGCUGUUAAUAAAUAAGUGGGUAAAUCUCUGUUCGGGGCUCUCAGCUCUGAAGGCUGUGAGACCCCUGAUUUCCCACUUUACACCUCUA